CCUACGUGUGGCAGCAGUGAGGAAUAUUGGUCAAUGGACGCGAGCCUGAACCAGCCAAGUCGCGUGAGGGAAGACGGUCCUAUGGAUUGUAAACCUCUUUUGUCGGGGAGCAAAAGACGCCACGCGUGGCGUUCCGAGAGUACCCGAAGAAAAAGCAUCGGCUAACUCCGGGCCAGCAGCCGCGGUAAUACGGAGGAUGCGAGCGUUAUCCGGAUGUAUUGGGUUAAAAGGGUGCGCAGGCGGAAGAUCAAGUCAGCGGUAAAAUUGAGAGGCUCAACCUCUUCGAGCCGUUGAAACUGGUUUUCUUGAGUGAGUGAGAAGUAUGCGGAAUGCGUGGUGUAGCGGUGAAAUGCAUAGAUAUCACGCAGAACUCCGAUUGCGAAGGCAGCAUACCGGCGCUCAACUGACGCUCAUGCACGAAAGUGUGGGUAUCGAACAGGAUUAGAUACCCCUGUAGUC
Molecule: ribosomal RNA, 459 nt
Filed under: uncultured bacterium
Lineage: Bacteria
Description: partial 16S ribosomal RNA
Rfam family: Bacterial small subunit ribosomal RNA
Source: RNAcentral